Molecule: unclassified non-coding RNA, 276 nt
Filed under: uncultured fungus
Lineage: Eukaryota; Fungi
Description: partial contains small subunit ribosomal RNA, internal transcribed spacer 1, and 5.8S ribosomal RNA
Rfam family: Eukaryotic small subunit ribosomal RNA (bases 1-73)
Source: RNAcentral
GCAAACUUGGUCAUUUAGAGGAAGUACAAGUCGUAACAAGGUUUCCGUAGGUGAACCUGCGGAAGGAUCAUUAACAAAUCAAAAGUGUGUUGUGUUUUUAAUCGUAUGAUUUUGGCACUACAUAACAUUUGUGCUCCGGUCAUUUGUACUGGUUGCAUCAUAUAAUAUCAUAUAUUCAUGAUUUUAUUGUAUUAUUGUUUUUGUUGUAUAUAGAGAAUCUUUUUAAAUACUUUUAACAAUGGAUCUCUUGGCUCUUGCAUCGAUGAAGAACGCAGC